AAACCUUGAGAAGAAUAAGAUGGGCAAUAAGCCUGUGUGUAUUACCCCGUUGUAGUAAAGAAACAAAGUUGGCCAACGGAAACGACUUUAUAGAUGAGGUAAAGUUAUCUGUUUUUCUGGCCCGAUGCAAGGCCGCACUGCGAGGAGCGGAUGUUUGAAAAUCUAUAUUCUCCUAGACCCGUUUUGAGGAAUUAUCACCUUUUCCAAUGACUGGCAAAUAAAUUUUAACAAUGAAGGAGAUUGUCGAAUUUGAGUAGGAAGAAGCAGGUUACUUGUAAGAUAAAAAAGGCUUACCACAAAAAGUCGCAAUGAAUUCACGAUAAAUUAACUUAUCGGUAAAUAUUCAUGUGAGAAAUGACGCAUUUCUUGUUAGUGGAAAGACGGAAAUUACUCAGGCACAUAAAUGCGCAUGCAUUCAUUGUACACGAAUAUGCUUAUUAAUGUAUAUGUGACAGUUCACACUAUCAUGAGAGACGAAAAUAUAAAUAGUUUAGUCCCUAUUGAACCGAUUGCAGUACCAAACUCCUCUCGGGUAAGCUUCGCAAAGGGCUUCUUAUAACCGAGUAGAUAUCUUAUCAUCGAGCGGAGAAAGGAACGAAGGGGUAGUAAAACACCACAAACUUAUAGCAUAGGUGCAAACAUCGCUGACAAGAUGAUCGUUUGUGUGUCUAAUUAGUACCUACUGUGUGCCCCUGCCGUGAGGACGAAUCUCCUCAGACAACUUGACCACCUGGGUUACAAUGGAAAAUCAGGCUAAAGGUGAUAAAAUUGCCAUCAUUGGAGGGGGUUUGGUGGGCGCUGCAUGUGCAUGCAUGUUGUCUCGGAGAGGGUUCAAAGUUGAUGUGUUGGAGUUACGAGAAGACCUGCGAUCAUUACAGACUUCCGAGCUGUCAGUAGGUCGUUCCAUCAACCUCGCUCUUUCCGUUCGUGGUCAGGAAACAUUGCGACUUCUUGGCGUAGAAGAUGAAGUCAUUCGAAACCAUGCGAUUCCCAUGCACGCCAGAAUGAUUCAUGGUCUAAACGGCAAGACACAUUCUAUCCCGUACGGGAGAAAGGGACAAUGCAUUUACUCUGUAGGCCGAAGGUAUCUCCUGGAAUUAUUAUUAAACCGCGCCGAGCAAGAUUCAAAUGUUCGACUUCUGUUUCGGCACAAAUUGGUACGAGCUGAAAUAGAGAGGGGCAAAGUAAUCUGCAGAACGACCCGGGGGGAGGAGCAGUCUCUUGGAGGUUAUCGUGCAAUCCUUGGCUGUGACGGCGCAUUUUCCAGGAUGAGGCAAGACGUCUUACGGCGAGGUAGAUUCUACUUUGAACAAAAGUAUAUCAAACAUGGUUACGUCGAGCUUUGUAUUCCCCCAAAGGACGGCAAGUUCCAGAUGGCUGUUAACUUCUUACAUAUUUGGCCUCGCGGGGACUUCAUGAUGAUAGCUUUGCCCAAUCAAGACGGUUCCUACACUGUCACCUUAUUUAUGCCUUUUACUAAAUUCGAGGCCUUGAGUUCUCCUAAGAAGAUACUUGAAUUCUUCUACAAAUAUUUUCCUGAUUCAGUGCCACUGAUCGGAGAGGAAUCUGUUGUGUCUACUCUAACGUCCGUCCCUGCUGGAUCUCUCGUAUCGAUUAAAUGUUCACCUUACCACGUCAAAGGACGGGCAUUGCUGUUGGGCGACGCUGCUCACGCAAUGGUCCCUUUCUACGGACAAGGAAUGAACUCAGAAAGAAAUCCAUGGAACCGAAAUGGGGCGGACAGGAACAGAAGAAAGCUACGCCGGAACCGGGAUCCAGAUAAGCACCAUAUAUUUUAUUCCGUGCCACCAUCGAAACGUUUCUUUGAGAAGGUGAGCCGAAAUUUUAUGGAUCCGUUCAGACAUCGUGAGCAACAAAGCUUUUUAUUAAUAUUAGUCGACUAUUAUAUCUGCUUCAGCCACCUCGUGCCAAUAUUUGCUGCAGUGGCUCCGACGCUAGUGCUCUUUCAAAGAUUUGGGCAUUAUAAUACAAUAUACACAGCCUGACCUUUUUCGCAUCAUGGGCAAUGACAAAUUAUAUUACACGAAGUUACAAUAGUUGAAACGAAAAAUGCGUUAAUCAAAUAUCAUUAACUUAAUAUAUCAGUACUAUGAAGAAAAAAGCGAUUUUAUUACUGGAAGUAAAUGCGCGACGUGAGGUAUUUUAGGCAUGUGGUACCAGACGUGAAGUCAGUAACGAGAACAUUUACUGGAUAAAAAGGAAAACAUUUUGCUGAGACUGGAUGAAAACAGAAGGAGAAGACACAGAAACAGAUAUUUCUCUUAUUGGAGAAUGAAAAAGUAUUACUCUUUUAAGAUUGCCUCAGGUGGUGUCUCAAGAUAGGAGGCUCAAUACAAGGAAUCCGGAAGAACUAAGCGGAAGAAGAAAUUAUUAUAAGGACACUGGAGGAUUAAAGUAUCUCUGCGUCUAUAUUCAAAUCUACGCAUUUUGUGCAUGCCUUUAGCUGGUAAACGAAUGGAAAUCUAGCUAUGAGCCUUGUUGUUUAAGCACACUCGAAAGCGAUAUCGUUAAAUCGAAAACACGGAUUAGCGAAACCAUUUUGGUAAUGUGUAACUAACGCAAAAAAUAAUUUUAACACAAAGCUUACAAUUAAAGUUUAGAUGACGAAUUACUUGCGAUUAUUUAAAAUCAAUGAGCGGUUAGGAGUUUAGGACAGUUACGUAGAAAAUCCCUUUAGCCGAUACAUUAAAACUGACUAUAUAGGUCAUCAGAUCAAUCAAAUCAUGGACGAGGGCAAUUCUGGCGAACACAUAUAGUAGAAGCUGUUAAUGUAUAAUCAGCGUGUAAAUGGUAUACUUUAAUGGGUAAUGGAAAACAAGAACUUGACUGAAAAGACUGUUGAUGCUUGCUGAUGUCAUCUUUUAGGGAUUUGAAGAUGUGCUGAUCCUCGAUGGUCUACUGACAACCUAUCGUGCCCAAGAACCAUCCCAGACGGAUUUUGAGAAGGU
Molecule: non-coding RNA, 2969 nt
Organism: Varroa destructor (honeybee mite)
Lineage: Eukaryota; Metazoa; Arthropoda; Arachnida; Mesostigmata; Varroidae
Source: RefSeq, a predicted model, not a curated record